AUAUAUUUAUAUAUAUAUAAUGUACUUGCUUGGGAUGAUACACAGAAGAUUAGUGUGGCUCCUGUGCAAGGAUGGCAUGCAAAUUUGUGAAAUUUUCUAUGGUAUA
Octopus bimaculoides (California two-spot octopus) is the source of this 106-nucleotide non-coding RNA. Lineage: Eukaryota; Metazoa; Mollusca; Cephalopoda; Octopoda; Octopodidae. The record is from Rfam.